GACGAACGCUGGCGGCGUGCCUAAUACAUGCAAGUUGAGCGCUGAAGGUUGGUACUUGUACCAACUGGGUGAGCAGCGAACGGGUGAGUAACGCGUGGGGAAUCUGCCUUUGAGCGGGGGACAACAUUUGGAAACGAAUGCUAAUACCGCAUAAAAACUUUAAACACAAGUUUUAAGUUUGAAAGAUGCAAUUGCAUCACUCAAAGAUGAUCCCGCGUUGUAUUAGCUAGUUGGUUAGGUAAAGGCUCACCAAGGCGAUGAUACAUAGCCUACCUGAGAGGGUGAACGGCCACAUUUGGAAUGAGACACGGCCCCAACUCCUACGGGAGGCAGCAGUAGGGAAACUUCGGAAAUGGACGAAAGUCUGACCGAGCAACGCCGCGUGAGGGAAGAAGGUUUUCGGAUCGUAAAAGUCUGUUGGUAGAGAAGAACGUUGGGGAGAGUGGAAAGCUCAUCAAGUGACGGUAACUACACAGAAAGGGACGGCUAACUACGUG
RNAcentral lists this ribosomal RNA (497 nucleotides) under uncultured bacterium. Its description in RNAcentral is "partial 16S ribosomal RNA". It matches the Rfam family "Bacterial small subunit ribosomal RNA", at positions 28 to 507 of the family's 1533-position model. The record is from RNAcentral.